GACAACAGCGCCUCCCGCAGGAGAAAGGUAGCUGCCUAUCGUUACAUUGUCCGCAAAUCGGCCUCUAUCUAAGCUAACUUCGACUAUGAAGGGGAUUUGAUUAGCUAAACUUGUAAGGUUCUCCUUUUCGCAUUUUGCUUGCUUUGUUCUUUUUGAGGGGUUUAUUUAAUCAAUGGUUGUGAACCUUUUUUUUUAGUCUGCUAAGAAGUAUUAGUACUGCAAUGUAUAAAAAUGGUGGUAGUAUGAUAUAUAUUAUUGCUUAAUAUAGAGGAAAAAACAUAUCUAUUGAAC
Molecule: long non-coding RNA, 291 nt
Filed under: Prunus persica (peach)
Lineage: Eukaryota; Viridiplantae; Streptophyta; Magnoliopsida; Rosales; Rosaceae
Description: long non-coding RNA (PPER_LNC006658)
Source: RNAcentral